This 446-nucleotide ribosomal RNA is filed under the name uncultured bacterium. RNAcentral's name for it is "bacterial SSU rRNA". It matches the Rfam family "Bacterial small subunit ribosomal RNA", at positions 329 to 792 of the family's 1533-position model. The record is from RNAcentral.
GUCCAGACUCCUACGGGAGGCAGCAGUGGGGAAUAUUGCACAAUGGGGGAAACCCUGAUGCAGCGACGCCGCGUGAGCGAUGAAGUAUUUCGGUAUGUAAAGCUCUAUCAGCAGGGAAGAAGAUGACGGUACCUGACUAAGAAGCCCCGGCUAACUACGUGCCAGCAGCCGCGGUAAUACGUAGGGGGCAAGCGUUAUCCGGAUUUACUGGGUGUAAAGGGAGCGUAGACGGCGAUGCAAGCCAGAUGUGAAAGCCCGGGGCUCAACCCCGGGACUGCAUUUGGAACUGUGUGGCUGGAGUGUCGGAGAGGCAGGCGGAAUUCCUAGUGUAGCGGUGAAAUGCGUAGAUAUUAGGAGGAACACCAGUGGCGAAGGCGGCCUGCUGGACGAUGACUGACGUUGAGGCUCGAAAGCGUGGGGAGCAAACAGGAUUAGAUCCCCUCGUA